Molecule: unclassified non-coding RNA, 251 nt
Filed under: Hevea brasiliensis (rubber tree)
Lineage: Eukaryota; Viridiplantae; Streptophyta; Magnoliopsida; Malpighiales; Euphorbiaceae
Source: RNAcentral
AGCUUACCUCCCCUCUCCUCUGUCAGACGGAACGAUGGAACUAGAUGUGAGAAUCUAAGAUACUCGGUCGCUGGUAUCUCAACUGUUGAACAUCUUUCAGGCAUAAAAACAGAUCGAUGUCCGCCAACCUUGGCCAGAUAUUCACAUUUGACCCCAAACGAAUCGCGACUGAGGAUUUCCACAAGCUCGUACUCACAGUCCUCCACAGUUGAUCGCGUCCAUUUUCUGUUCCAAUUCUUGUACAAUGCCCA